RNAcentral lists this ribosomal RNA (253 nucleotides) under uncultured bacterium. RNAcentral's name for it is "partial 16S ribosomal RNA". It matches the Rfam family "Bacterial small subunit ribosomal RNA", at positions 524 to 776 of the family's 1533-position model. The record is from RNAcentral.
UACGAAGGGGGCUAGCGUUGCUCGGAAUCACUGGGCGUAAAGGGUGCGUAGGCGGGUCUUUAAGUCAGGGGUGAAAUCCUGGAGCUCAACUCCAGAACUGCCUUUGAUACUGAAGAUCUUGAGUUCGGGAGAGGUGAGUGGAACUGCGAGUGUAGAGGUGAAAUUCGUAGAUAUUAGGAAGAACACCGGUGGCGAAGGCGGCCCACUGGACCGACACUGACGCUGAGGCGCGAAAGCGUGGGGAGCAAACAGG